RNAcentral lists this small nuclear RNA (100 nucleotides) under Dasypus novemcinctus (nine-banded armadillo). Lineage: Eukaryota; Metazoa; Chordata; Mammalia; Cingulata; Dasypodidae. The record is from RNAcentral.
CCUGUGUACUUCAGUAGCAUAUACUAAAAUUGGAACAAUAUAGAGAAAAUUAGCAUGGCCCUUGCAAAAGGAUGACACGCAAACUCAUGGAGUAUUUUUU